AUUGAUGACAAGACGUAGGAAAUAAAGCUUAGAUGAUUCGGACAUAUUUAUAGGAGAAAUCCAAAUGCUCCAAUAAAGAGGUGAGAACGGUUAGUUGUGGAGGGCAUGAGAAGAGGUAGAGGGCGACAAAAAAAGUAUUGGGGGAGGUAAUUAAGCAGGAUAUGGCGAGGUUGCAAAUUUCCGAGAAAAUAACAUUCGAUAGGAACAUGUGGAGGUCGAGUAUUAGGUUUGUAGGUUAGGAGGUAGUCGAGUCUUGUCUUAUACCAUACCUUUAUGAGACUAGUUUGGUAAUGAUACUAUUUUGCUUCUGCUGUGCGUUGUAUCUUUCUUCUUGAUUUCAUAUCGUUCCUAUUUGUCAUAUUUG
This 364-nucleotide long non-coding RNA is filed under the name Nicotiana benthamiana. RNAcentral's name for it is "long non-coding RNA (NBEN_LNC006176)". Lineage: Eukaryota; Viridiplantae; Streptophyta; Magnoliopsida; Solanales; Solanaceae. The record is from RNAcentral.